UCCCAACCAUAUCAAUGGUCCACAAUGUAGGAUAAAUACUAAACUUCAAAUGGGAUAAACACAACCUCCUUCAAAAUAAAUGUAAUAUUUUCUAGAAUAAACACAAAUAAGUUCAGGGCAAAAAGAAAAAUUCUAUAAUAAAUACAAAAUCUAUGGUGAUAAACAAAAAUACUCCAAAAUAAACACAAACUCCAUCCCAACCCUUGAUGCAUGCAAGUUUCCAUUCCCCAUCACAUCUGCAUCAAUGGCUAAUUUUUUUUAAAUCUUUAUAUCAAAAUAAAUGAAAAAGUAGCCGUUAACUUUUUGAUUUAUUGCAUCG
This 319-nucleotide long non-coding RNA is filed under the name Elaeis guineensis (African oil palm). RNAcentral describes it as "long non-coding RNA (EGUI_LNC032875)". Lineage: Eukaryota; Viridiplantae; Streptophyta; Magnoliopsida; Arecales; Arecaceae. The record is from RNAcentral.